Amphimedon queenslandica is the source of this 1183-nucleotide RNA transcript. It is a transcript of the gene named serine/arginine-rich splicing factor 1-like, with no coding region annotated. The record is from RefSeq and is a predicted model, not a curated record. The transcript is spliced from 6 exons. Lineage: Eukaryota; Metazoa; Porifera; Demospongiae; Haplosclerida; Niphatidae.
UUUUCUGCGCAUGCGCAGUAGCUGCAAAGAGAAGCAAGAUGUCCCGCUCUGAUAGCAAUGACUGCAAAGUGUAUGUUGGUAAUCUUCCCGGGGACAUAAGGAAGAGAGACCUGGAGGACAUCUUCUACAAAUAUGGCAAACUCGUUGAUGUUGACCUCCACGAUAGGAGGGAGACCCCAUUCGCCUUCAUAGAGUUUGAGGAUCCCAGAGAUGCAGAUGAUGCCAUUAGAGGUCGGGAUGGGUACAUGUUUGACGGGUACAAGCUACGGGUCGAGUUACCUCGCUCGUCACCUCGUUACGUUGGUGGGCGUGGUGGUGGGGGAAGGGGCUACUAUGGCGGAGGGAGGCGUGACGGGUAUGGGCGUGGUGGGGGACGCCAGUCAGGACACAAACUAAUGAUCACUGGACUACCGCCCACGGGAUCUUGGCAAGAUAUCAAGGAUCACUUCAGACAGGCUGGUGACGUCAUAUAUGCUAACGUUGAGAGAGACGGAACCGGAGUCGUUGAAUUUGCAAGAUAUGAACAUGCAAAGAGAGCAGUGAGAGACCUUGAUGACAGCAAAUUCCGCUCUCACGAAGGUGAGUCGGCUUAUAUAAGAGUAUCGGAGCCGUCCUCUGGUGGGUCUCCUUACAGACGCAACAGUCGUUCCCCCAGCCCGUCCCCUCGUCACUCACCACGGUACCACGACUCACCGAGACACCGUGACGGGUCUCCCAGACGCAGCCGCAGUCCAAGAUACAGGCGCUCUAGGAGCCGCUCUAAUUAAAGCACAAGUUAUUGUCAUGGAAAUGGAUUAAUUACUUUCAUAAAAUGGCCACACCCCCUUUUGAAAAAUUAAUGGAUGUGGCACAUAGUGUCUGUCUGCUAAGCAUAUCAGAUCAGGAAUCAAAAUCAUGUUAAGAGAUCAAUUAGGAUCAAUGUGGCAUUAGGAAUUGGGAUCCAAUGUCAUGUUAAGGGAUCAGAUCAGGAAUCAAUCCAUGUGUUAGGAUCAAUGUGGCAUUGGGAAUUGGGAAUCAAUUUCACAUUAAGGGAUCAAAUGGUGUUAAAACGUGACGAGGAUACCACACACAUGAAGUUAAUUCUGUUAAGAAAAGAGGAAAGAGACUCUCUGUAUUAUUAAUAAUAAUAAUAAUAAUAGUUGAUGUUAUUUUGAUUUGAAUAAAGAGAUCAAAUUGAAACACA